UAGCAUGGAAUAAUAAAAUAGGACGGCGGUUCUAUUUUGUUGGUUUCUAGAGCCACCGUAAUGAUUAAUAGGGAUAGUCGGGGGCAUCAGUAUUCAAUUGUCAGAGGUGAAAUUCUUGGAUUUAUUGAAGACUAACUACUGCGAAAGCUUUUGCCAAGGAUGUUUUCAUUAAUCAGUGAACGAAAGUUAGGGGAUCGAAGACGAUCAGAUACCGUCGUAGUCUUAACCAUAAACUAUGCCGACUAGGGAUCGGGCGGUGCUCAACUUAUGACCCGCUCGGCACCUUACGAGAAAUCAAAGUUUUUGGGUUCUGGGGGGAGUAUGGUCGCAAGGCUGAAACUUAAAGGAAUUGACGGAAGGGCACCACCAGAUGUGGAGCCUGCGGCUUAAUUUGACUCAACACGGGGAAACUCACCAGGUCCAGACACAUUAAGGAUUGACAGAUUGAGAGCUCUUUCUUGAUUAUGUGGGUGGUGGUGCAUGGCCGUUCUUAGUUGGUGGAGUGAUUUGUCUGCUUAAUUGCGAUAACGAACGAGACCUUAACCUGCUAAAUAGCCAGGCUAGCUUUUGCUGGUCGCCGGCUUCUUAGAGGGACUAUCGGCUCAAGCCGAUGGAAGUUUGAGGCAAUAACAGGUCUGUGAUGCCCUUAGAUGUUCUGGGCCGCACGCGCGCUACACUGACGGAGCCAACGAGUAUAAACCUUAACCGAGAGGUUUGGGUAAUCUUGUUAAACUCUGUCGUGCUGGGGAUAGGGCAUUGCAAU
RNAcentral lists this ribosomal RNA (763 nucleotides) under uncultured Orbiliales. RNAcentral's name for it is "SSU rRNA". It matches the Rfam family "Eukaryotic small subunit ribosomal RNA", at positions 805 to 1590 of the family's 1831-position model. The record is from RNAcentral. Lineage: Eukaryota; Fungi; Ascomycota; Orbiliomycetes; Orbiliales.